UAAGAAAUUGCUCUAAAGUAGAAGACUGCCAGCAUUCAUAUGCUAAGUGUAUUCAUAAUCAAUGUCAAUGCCCUACACGUUUGGACAAAAAAUGCUAUGGCAAUGUUAAUGACGGGUGUAUCGACUCAUCUGAUUGCGUUGGUAUUCAGUUAGUGUGUCAAAAUAAUAAAUGUGUAUUGUCGAAUGAAACCACGGAAGGAAAAAAUUUGUGCAAUUAUAAAUUAGGAGCUUCAGUCUGUUGGGGUCCAGAAAGGAGCCGACAAUUUUCGGAAAUAUACUGCACGGUAUGGUCUAAAGGAUGCCUAUUUAAUUAUUGGUGGGCCAAUAAAAAAGAACCAGAAGCCGAACGUCGAUAUUUACAGGACAAUCCAAAGUUGGUGUGGAAAAAUAGUAGUACUGCCGAUAUAAGCAAAUCUGUACAUGCGGCAGUCUUUGAUUCUAUAAAAAUAUUCUGUCAGCCUGUUGACAAAUUUUCAUUCGUUGGAACAUCGCUACUCGAUUAUACAUAUUGUUACUACGAAGACACCAGUGGAAGGUCCUUUUUGACUAAAACAUUCAAUAUCUUAGUGUAUGAGGACUAAGUUAGUCACAACAUAUCAUCACUAUGAUC
Molecule: long non-coding RNA, 610 nt
Organism: Cotesia glomerata
Lineage: Eukaryota; Metazoa; Arthropoda; Insecta; Hymenoptera; Braconidae
Exons: 3
Source: RefSeq, a predicted model, not a curated record